GCUGAUCGAACUCCUUCGAUCGAUGUCUGUCGAUUCUUUGGAUGCUCUGGAUCAUCAACAAACAUGCUUGAGAGGAUGUUGAAGAUCUUCCUAAGAUUUUGUAGGCUCACGACACUCGUAGCUCACUUUCUCACUUCCCGAACCCCAGGCUAAAACUCUAGGGAACUCACCGAAAACCUUGCACCCACUUUUCUUUCUUUUCUUUCUUUUUCUCUUGGAAGGAUAUGGACUUCCUUCUCACGC
Molecule: long non-coding RNA, 243 nt
Filed under: Elaeis guineensis (African oil palm)
Lineage: Eukaryota; Viridiplantae; Streptophyta; Magnoliopsida; Arecales; Arecaceae
Description: long non-coding RNA (EGUI_LNC069043)
Source: RNAcentral